UGGGGAAUAUUGGACAAUGGGCGCAAGCCUGAUCCAGCCAUGCCGCGUGAGUGACGAAGGUCUUCGGAUUGUAAAACUCUUUUGGCGGGGACGAUAAUGACGGUACCCGCAGAAUAAGCCCCGGCUAACUUCGUGCCAGCAGCCGCGGUAAUACGAAGGGGGCUAGCGUUGUUCGGAAUCACUGGGCGUAAAGCGCACGUAGGCGGAUGUGCCAGUCAGGGGUGAAAUCCCGGAGCUCAACCUCGGAACUGCCUUCAAAACUGGCGACCUGGACCUAAGUAGAGGCAAGUGGAAUUGCGAGUGUAGAGGUGAAAUUCGUAGAUAUUCGCAGGAACACCAGUGGCGAAGGCGACUUGCUGGACUUAUGGUGACGCUGAGACGCGAAAGCGUGGGGAGCAAACGGGAUUAGAUACCCCAGUAGUCCCUGAGCGGGCUGGCAAGGCGCAU
This 447-nucleotide ribosomal RNA is filed under the name uncultured bacterium. RNAcentral's name for it is "bacterial SSU rRNA". It matches the Rfam family "Bacterial small subunit ribosomal RNA", at positions 355 to 825 of the family's 1533-position model. The record is from RNAcentral.